AGAUGUAAGGGUGAUCUGGCUACAACAUCAAUCACAUCAUUGAUUGCCAGGGGUGCUGGAGCUGGCUGUGUAUGGGUGUGCCCACUUCCUCCUUCAGCAUACCUGUGCUUCCCUCCCAAGAAAUGCAUGUCUAGUGGAAGAGGAUGACUUUCCCCUAGUAGAGAUGGGGCAGUCUUUGGUCAAGGGUAUACCCAGUAGUUGCGCCUCCCUGCCAGAAUCUCCAAACAACUUCUCAAAGUCCAAUAGUACUAAUGUGACCACCAAGGUAAAAUGAGACAGAUUCUAGACAGGAAAGACAGAGAUGUCCUACUUC
Molecule: unclassified non-coding RNA, 313 nt
Organism: Erinaceus europaeus (western European hedgehog)
Lineage: Eukaryota; Metazoa; Chordata; Mammalia; Eulipotyphla; Erinaceidae
Gene: 7SK
Rfam family: 7SK RNA
About the family: 7SK was discovered as an abundant small nuclear RNA in the mid-70s but a possible function has only recently been suggested.
Source: Ensembl